RNAcentral lists this ribosomal RNA (393 nucleotides) under uncultured bacterium. Its description in RNAcentral is "partial 16S ribosomal RNA". It matches the Rfam family "Bacterial small subunit ribosomal RNA", at positions 523 to 918 of the family's 1533-position model. The record is from RNAcentral.
AUACGGAGGAUGCGAGCGUUAUCCGGAUUUAUUGGGUUUAAAGGGAGCGUAGGUGGGAUAUUAAGUCAGCUGUGAAAGUUUGGGGCUCAACCUUAAAAUUGCAGUUGAUACUGGUUUCCUUGAGUACGGUACAGGUGGGCGGAAUUCGUGGUGUAGCGGUGAAAUGCUUAGAUAUCACGAAGAACUCCGAUCGCGAAGGCAGCUCACCGGGCCGGAACUGACACUGAUGCUCGAAAGUGCGGGUAUCAAACAGGAUUAGAUACCCUGGUAGUCCGCACAGUAAACGAUGAAUACUCGCUGUUUGCGAUACACGGUAAGCGGCCAAGCGAAAGCGUUAAGUAUUCCACCUGGGGAGUGCGCCGGCAACGGUGAAACUCAAAGGAAUUGACGGGG